ACAAAGACCAAAAAUCGUUUUGCACAUCGAUCAUAUGCUCAUUUCAUCUUGAAUGUACCUUUUUUUUUAAUUCGAUAACUAAGUAAAAUAAUACAAUGAAAUAUGUUUUUACAAAAGGUGAUUUGAGCUUGGAAAAAACAUUAUCAUUAGCAAAAAACACUUACAUCCAACUUGUUUUAAUUUCUGAUAUUUUUUUCUAGAAAUAAAAAAUGAUCUCAUCCAAUUUGCGUCUUCACUCCUGAAGCUGCUGGUGGGUUCACGGUCUGGUCAGACUUGGUGUUUGAGACUCCUUCCUCCUCAUUACGAUGGAGAUCCUUUUGAUUUGUUGCGCUGGCUGAGUGGGGGCAGAUGGGUGGUGUGUGUGAUAAGCCACUGGGCCUGGCCCAACAUUACUCCCCCAUGCUUUUGACUUUGUCUUUGUCCUUUGGUGAUUGAAGGCAUUUACCCAAAAUCUGUUCCGUGAGCCCAAACUCUAACAUAGAUGGACUGGAUUGAACUUUCUUCUUCAUCGUCGGUUUUGUAUUGGGAUGCUUGGCAAUCGGAGGAGCAUCGAUGUCCGCAUCCACAAGGUAGAACUCCGGAACCACCGUAACGGUCGCCAUCUCCACCUCCAAAUCAGCUUCCGUGUUAGCUAUCUCAAUCGGAGCUAUUGCUUCGAACCCAGUUACCAAUGAAACCUCCAUGGCUGAAUCUUCAUCGAGUAGAUCGUCCUCAUCAAUCUCCUAUUUGGCAUAUUCAUUGUACAACGACAGUCCAUCAAUUUUUCCAUCGGCUUGAUCCUCUUCUGCUUGAUUCACGCGCACGUGGAUGAAUUUGUAUCUCUGCAAAAACAGGAAUUAGCUCAUUGGGAUUCUCGAAACAGGAAUUUGUAUCCUCUGGUUCUACUACUUGUCCUAUCUACAUGUCGUAAGCCUCACCAAACUCUACACGAUAGAAGAUGUCAUAUGUCUUUCAGACAGUAUCCUGGCGAUUGCAUUUAUAAUCCAACCAACCCAAACUGGAUGAUGGGAAAGACCUUUACAUCACCGGUUUCGGCUAUUUCACAGCCUUCAUGGUAGUUCUCUUCAGGUACGCUAAUAUUCCUUAACGACAUCAGCCUCAGCCUCAGGAUGACGACGACGGCUAAGGACGCGACGGCGGCGAAGGAUGCACCCUUCACCUUAAAUUUGGGAGAUCCACGACCUCUCGCCAAAUGUGUCGAGAUCGAAUCCUUCGUUUCCUUCAUCCCCUCCACCAUAUCACCGUUGAUUUCACCCACAAGCUGAUCGCCGGAUCCGUCUUCUUCCAUCGGACACCACCUCCACCGGAACCAUCUCCUGCGGGGCGUCUAACAUCAACUCCUCAUCGAUUUGGUAAAACUCAUCAUCAUUCAACGUCUCAUAUCUUAGGCUUGGGAAGAACUGCUAGCAGUGCCUCGACGCUCCUUACGUUGGCGUUAAGGAGACGUCCCACAAGACUUUCGCUAUCGUUUUAAUGUCUGUGUUUGUCAUUUCUAGUUAUCGUUUCUAGUUUAGAUUUUAUUUUGGUAUUUAUGUUGUAAUCGUUGUUUGCUAAGUAAUGAAAAUGGGCAACAUUAUUUA
Long non-coding RNA from Brassica napus (rape), 1580 nucleotides. RefSeq lists it as uncharacterized. The record is from RefSeq and is a predicted model, not a curated record. The transcript is spliced from 2 exons. NCBI's taxonomy places the organism in Eukaryota, Viridiplantae, Streptophyta, Magnoliopsida, Brassicales, Brassicaceae.